CAAGUCGAGCGAGAACCAUGCCUUCGGGCAUGGGGACAGCGGCGAACGGGUGAGUAACACGUGAGUAAUCCACCCUCGGUACCGGAAUAGCCCGGGGAAACCCGGAUUAAUGCCGGAUGGCCCAUUUGCUCAUCGGGGUAAAUGGAAAAGGUAGCUUCGGCCUCCGACCGGGGACGAGCUCGCGGCGGAUUAGCUUGUUGGCGGGGUAACGGCCCACCAAGGCGACGAUCCGUAGCUGGUCUGAGAGGACGAUCAGCCACACUGGGACUGAGACACGGCCCAGACUCCUACGGGAGGCAGCAGUGGGGAAUCUUGCGCAAUGGGCGAAAGCCUGACGCAGCGACGCCGCGUGAGGGAAGAAGGCCUUCGGGUUGUAACCUCUUUCAGGAGGGACGAAGCCACUCGGGUGAAUAGCCCAGAGGGUGACGGUACCUCCAGAAGAAGCCCCGGCUAACUACGUGCCAGCAGCCGCGGUAAUACGUAGGGGGCAAGCGUUGUCCGGAUUUAUUGGGCGUAAAGAGCGUGUAGGCGGCUUCACAGGUCCGCUGUGAAAACUCGAGGCUCAACCUCGAGCUGUCGGUGGAAACCGUGUGGCUAGAGUCCGGAAGAGGAGAGUGGAAUUCCCGGUGUAGCGGUGAAAUGCGCAGAUAUCGGGAAGAACACCCGUGGCGAAGGCGGCUCUCUGGGACGGUACUGACGCUGAGACGCGAAAGCGUGGGGAGCGAACAGGAUUAGAUACCCUGGUAGUCCACGCCGUAAACGAUGGGUGCUAGGUGUUGGGGGGUGUCGACUCCCUCCGUGCCGAAGCUAACGCAUUAAGCACCCCGCCUGGGGAGUACGGCCGCAAGGCUAAAACUCAAAGAAAUUGACGGGGGCCCGCACAAGCCGCGGAACAGGUGGUUUAUUCGACGCGACCCGAGAA
This 922-nucleotide ribosomal RNA is filed under the name uncultured Actinomycetes bacterium. RNAcentral describes it as "bacterial SSU rRNA". It matches the Rfam family "Bacterial small subunit ribosomal RNA", at positions 58 to 967 of the family's 1533-position model. The record is from RNAcentral. Lineage: Bacteria; Bacillati; Actinomycetota; Actinomycetes.